CGCAUUUUAGUGCAUAAUUAUGUUUGAUUUCUAUUUGUCGAGAAUUGAAAUGGUUUCAAUUCUCGACAAAUAGAAAUCAAACAUAAUUAUGCACUAAAAUGCG
RNAcentral lists this microRNA precursor (103 nucleotides) under Aedes aegypti (yellow fever mosquito). RNAcentral describes it as "pre miRNA AAEL028922". The record is from RNAcentral. Lineage: Eukaryota; Metazoa; Arthropoda; Insecta; Diptera; Culicidae.